GUCGUCCCGAGUGGCUGGACAAAAUGCAAACGUGGCAACAAACGGCGUUCGUACUCCUUCCAUGUACAAGUCGUUUUUCUUUUAAAACACGAUUCAUUCCCAAAUAAAGCAAAACCCAGCAUUCCAACACGAUUCAGUCACAUUUCGUUCUCCCCCAAAAUCAAAUUCUCUCGAACCCUAGAUCACGUUGGGAAGAAAUUAUAAUCCGGGAUUCACCGUCCCCAACAUCACAACAGAAAGUCCUGUUCGAAUCCACCCCAAACUUCACAAUCAAAAUCCAGUUACCAAAACCCAGAACAUACGAAGAAAGUCACACGAACCCAAUCAAGUUUCGCGCAAGGUGUAGCUAAUUACUGACCAUACUGAAUUUUAGUUUAGUCUUUUGUAGAAUAUUAUAGUUGAAUGAACAUAAACAUUUUUCAAUUUAUGGCUGCAAAAAAUCAAUUGAAUAUGUUGAAAUUCGUGUUGUAGGAUGUUUUACAUUGUUCACAUUUCCCAUGUUUGCUUAGUGUAUAUGCAAUUUGCUAAUUAUAUUGUUUACCUUUUCCAUGUUUGAAGUGAUAUGGUAGGGAAGAACAGAGGCGUUUCUCAUAGUUGUAGGAAGUUUGGGCAUUUUUUGUCGAAUUGUCCAACAAAAUAAUGUUGCCUAAAAUGUAGCUAGGGCAUCGAGAAUGUAUGGGGGUGGAGAGAAGUACGUCAAACAUAGGCCGAUUGUUCCUUUUCUGUACUUUUGAUUGUGGUAAUCUUAAUUGGCAAGAUGAAGAUGCGUCUAGUAGGGAAAAGGCUAUAGACCUGAUUGAAAAUUUGUUGAGUAUGUUGAAGUCGUGUGCUCAAAUCUAUGAAAAAUUAGAGAUAGAGAUAUCUUUCAACGUCAUUGUUCAUAUGGAAAAAAGAGUUAUAGAGGACAACCGAAAAGGAAAGAGAAUCGUUCCUUGAAUUAUUUCAAACAAUGAAAACGUGUCAAGACUCGUUGUUGGAGUUGUCAAGAUCCAUGUUUAUGUAAUAUUCAUUAAACUUGUUGUAUUUUAUAUCUUGUGGAGGUCAUGUAAUUAAUAUAGUUCAUGUAGCUUAUGUAGUAUUUUGUUAGUAUGUUGUGAGAACUUUUGCGGUCUAUUAAUUUAAGUCUGAAUUCCCUU
Molecule: long non-coding RNA, 1136 nt
Filed under: Olea europaea subsp. europaea
Lineage: Eukaryota; Viridiplantae; Streptophyta; Magnoliopsida; Lamiales; Oleaceae
Source: RNAcentral